RNAcentral lists this ribosomal RNA (234 nucleotides) under uncultured bacterium. RNAcentral's name for it is "partial 16S ribosomal RNA". It matches the Rfam family "Bacterial small subunit ribosomal RNA", at positions 103 to 334 of the family's 1533-position model. The record is from RNAcentral.
CGGGUGCGUAACACGUGAGCAACCUGCCUUUGGUGGUGGGGGAGUAGCCGGGCUAACGCCCGGGUAAUACCGCAUACGGUCGCUGAGGGGAGUCCCUUGGCGAAGAAACCUCCGGGGCACGAAGAGGGGCUCGCGGCCUAUCAGCUAGUUGGCGGGGUAAUGGCCCACCAAGACGAUGAUCGGUAUCCGGCCUGAGAGGGCGCACGGACACACUGGAACUGAAACACGGUCCAG